GAAAGAUUUCAAAACAUUUUUGACAAAUGAUCAAACAAAAGUCACUGAGGAAGAAAAUAAGGGUUCAGGUACAGGUGCAGCCGGUGCCUCAGACACAACAAUAAAACCCAAUCCUGAAAACACUGGGCCCACAUUAGAAUGGGAUAACUAUGAUUUAAGGGAAGAUGCUUUGGAUGAUAGUGUUAGUAGUAGCUCAGUACAUGCUUCUCCAUUGGCAAGUAGCCCUGUGAGAAAAAAUCUUUUCCGUUUUGGUGAGUCAACAACAGGAUUUAACUUCAGUUUUAAAUCUGCUUUGAGUCCAUCUAAGUCUCCUGGCAAGUUGAAUCAGAGUGGGACUUCAGUUGGCACUGAUGAAGAAUCUGAUGUUACUCAAGAAGAAGAGAGAGAUGGACAGUACUUUGAACCUGUUGUUCCUUUACCUGAUCUAGUUGAAGUAUCCAGUGGAUGUUGCAGACUCGUUUAAGAAAAUUUUUGAUGAAGCAAAAACAGCCCAGGAAAAAGAUUCUUUGAUAACACCUCAUGUUUCUCGGUCAAGCACUCCCAGAGAGUCACCAUGUGGCAAAAUUGCUGUAGCUGUAUUAGAAGAAACCACAAGAGAGAGGACAGAUGUUACUCAGGGUGAUGAUGUAGCAGAUGCAGCUUCAGAAGUUGAAGUGUCUAGCACAUCUGAAACAACAACAAAAGCGGUGGUUUCUCCUCCAAAGUUUGUAUUUGGUUCAGAGUCUGUUAAAAGCAUUUUUAGUAGUGAAAAAUCAAAACCAUUUGCAUUCGGCAACACUUCAGCCACUGGGUCUUUGUUUGGAUUUAGUUUUAAUGCACCUUUGAAAAGUAACAAUAGUGAAACUAGUUCAGUAGCCCAGAGUGGAUCUGAAAGCAAAGUGGAACCUAACAAAUGUGAACUGUCAAAGAACUCUGAUAUCGAACAGUCUUCAGAUAGCAAAGUCAAAAAUCUCUCUGCUUCCUUUCCAACGGAAGAAUCUUCAAUCAACUACACAUUUAAAACACCAGAAAAGGGUAGGUACUUUGUUGUUAAAGUUAAGCACAAUUUUUCUUUCUUUUAAUGUUUAGCUUGAUGCAGACUCUUUGUAGGAUACUAAUGUUGGGAUAUAAAUGAUGCUUUGUGAACACCCCCAAAAUAUUUGAGCAAUUUUUUUUCUCCCUUAAUAAGUUCACGGUGAAGUUUCAAAGAGCAAGAGAACUUAGUUUAAGACAUUUCAGUAACUAGAAGAUACUUUUAUCAUGCUAGGGCAGAGCAAAAGAACUCGGUACGGUAUACGGACUCAUGCUUGAAUCAUGCGCAUUAACGUGAGUCUUUUUUUAAAGUGUUCAUUUUCAUUUGUUCAGUUUCUUUUGUCACUCAGAAAACAUGAUAUUGAGGCUGGGCACGGUGGCUCACUCCUAGAAUGCCAGCACUUUGGGAGGUUGAGGUGGGCAGAUCACUUGAGCUCAAGAGUUCGAGACCAGCCUGGCCAACAUGGUGAAACCCUGUUUCUACUGAAAAUACAAAAAUGAGCCGGGCGUGGUGGUGUGUGCCUAUGAUUAGCAGCUACUUAGGAGGCUGAGGCAGGAGGAUCACUUGAGCACAGGAGAUGGAGGUAGCAGUGAGCUGAAAUCAUGCCACUGCACUCCAGCCUGACUGUGAGUGACUGAGUGAGACUUUGUCUCCAAAAAAACAAAAAAAAAAAAAACAUGAUAUUGAGAUGUUCUCAUUUUAUGUGUUGUAUGUCAGUCUUGCUCAUGUAUUAAAUGAGCAAAGAAUGAAACUACAGGGAUAAAUGAAUAUGUAAGACAGUCAGAUUGGUGGUAUAAAUUGAGGGAUUCUGGCUUUUUAUGUUUUAAAAGCAUAUUCAUUUUGUUUCCUAAAAUGUUAAAAAACGAAAUAUUGUUUAUUUUCUAGGAUUUAAUUUUAGCCUUUUUAAAUCUAAUCCCAUGGCCUUUUGGACUAGCACCCCUUCCUCACAGCCUGAGAGCAAAGGUAUAGAACUAGCAUUCUCAGUAUGAGAUAACAGCAGUUUUUAGCAGCUGGUAGCCCUUAGCAAAGUAUUAAUAACUGUGGCUGUAUGAAAUGAAGUACUUACCACUACU
Molecule: long non-coding RNA, 2085 nt
Organism: Pan troglodytes (chimpanzee)
Lineage: Eukaryota; Metazoa; Chordata; Mammalia; Primates; Hominidae
Source: Ensembl